GACGAACGCUGGCGGCGUGCUUAACACAUGCAAGUCGAACGGAAAGGCCCUGCUUUUGUGGGGUGCUCGAGUGGCGAACGGGUGAGUAACACGUGAGUAACCUGCCCUUGACUUUGGGAUAACUUCAGGAAACUGGGGCUAAUACCGGAUAGGAGCUCCUGCUGCAUGGUGGGGGUUGGAAAGUUUCGGCGGUUGGGGAUGGACUCGCGGCUUAUCAGCUUGUUGGUGGGGUAGUGGCUUACCAAGGCUUUGACGGGUAGCCGGCCUGAGAGGGUGACCGGCCACAUUGGGACUGAGAUACGGCCCAGACUGCUACGGGAGGCAGCAGUGGGGAAUAUUGCACAAUGGGCGGAAGCCUGAUGAAGAAACGCCGCGUGCGGGAUGACGGCCUUCGGGUUGUAAACCGCUUUCGCCUGUGACGAAGCGUGAGUGACGGUAAUGGGUAAAGAAGCACCGGCUAACUACGUG
This 468-nucleotide ribosomal RNA is filed under the name uncultured bacterium. RNAcentral describes it as "partial 16S ribosomal RNA". It matches the Rfam family "Bacterial small subunit ribosomal RNA", at positions 28 to 507 of the family's 1533-position model. The record is from RNAcentral.